GAUUGUCAAACUCUGUUUCUGUUUAAUAGGAGUAUAUGGGCUUCACAGAAUGAGUCUGCACAUUAUCAUCAAAACGUAGAACUCUGCGUCCACCUUCUGUUGUAAGGAGUCCAUGAUGAAUUGGCUCUGAAACCAGUGGAUUAGCAUAUUAGUUGUCAAUCUCUCCUGCUGACGUUCCCAUGUGAAGAUACCUUAUGUGGCCUGGGUGUGUUGCUCAUAGAAUUGUUAGGGUUCUUCUAAGGCUGCUUCAGAGGUAUAAGGUUUCAGGAUUCGAACCCUUUGGAUGGGUAGUAAGGUCACUCACCUGAAUAUAUGGGAAAGAAAGGAACAGAAAUCACUGAUACUCAUGGUAAGUGUUGACUAUUGGAAAAUGAUGUGCUUUGAUUCUUUUUUCAGAAGUUUUGUGAAAA
Molecule: long non-coding RNA, 410 nt
Filed under: Anas platyrhynchos (mallard)
Lineage: Eukaryota; Metazoa; Chordata; Aves; Anseriformes; Anatidae
Description: lncRNA (ENSAPLG00020008967.1)
Source: RNAcentral